This 459-nucleotide ribosomal RNA is filed under the name uncultured bacterium. RNAcentral's name for it is "partial 16S ribosomal RNA". It matches the Rfam family "Bacterial small subunit ribosomal RNA", at positions 338 to 795 of the family's 1533-position model. The record is from RNAcentral.
CCUACGGGUGGCUGCAGUGAGGAAUAUUGGUCAAUGGGCGGGAGCCUGAACCAGCCAAGUCGCGUGAGGGAAGAAGGUACUGAGUAUUUUAAACCUCUUUUGCCAGGGGACAAAGGCGGCCACGGGUGGCCGUAAGACGGUACCUGGAGAAAAAGCAUCGGCUACCUCCGUGCCAGCGGCUGCGGUACUAGGGAGGAUGCGAGCGUUCUCCGGUUUUAUUGGGUUAAAGGGGUGCGAAGGGGGCGUGUCAAGUCAGCGGUAAAGUGUCGGGGCUCAACCCCGGCCGGCCGUUGAAACUGUCGUGCUCGAGUUGGAGAGAAGGAUGCGGAAUUCGUGGUGUAGCGGUGAAAUGCAUAGAUAUUACGAAGAACACCGAUUGCGAAGGCAGCAUACCGGCUCCACACUGACGGUGAGGCGCGAAAGCGUGGGGAUCGAACAGGAUUAGAUACCCUUGUAGUC